UAGCCAUUAAGCUUCAACCUAAAACCCUAAUCUUAAUCAACUAUUGCUCUAAACCCUAAUAAGCCUUCUUCUCCAAAACCCUGAUCUUAUUAGACAAUUGCUCUGAACUCUGCUCUUCUUGGUUUACUUCUCUCAAUUUGUUAGGCUCUCUCUCCCAUGAGGUGAAAAUGCCCUCGGUUCCCAAUAAUGUUUCCACCCAAAAUCAGCAGAGUGGUGGGGGAAGGAAAACUCAGGACGAUCGCCGAAAUCAACAAUCGUCAGCUUGGAGGCAGUGGAUUCUACAGCAGAGGAAGUCCUUACCAGUCGCUUCAGUCGAGAAGUGGAUUGUGGAGGAAGUGAAGAAGAAUGACACUUUAAUUGUUGUUGGAGAAACCGGAAGUGGGAAGACGACGCAAUUGCCACAGUUUUUGUACAAUGCUGGAUUUUGUCAUGAUGGGAGAGUUAUUGGCAUCACACAGCCUCGUCGAGUUGCAGCUGUUACUGUUGCAAAGCGUGUGGCUGAAGAAUGCAAUGUUGAGUUGGGCCAGAAAGUUGGGUAUUCAAUUAGAUUUGAGGAUGUCACAUCUAGCAGUACAAGGAUUAAGUACAUGACAGAUGGUUUGCUUCUGAGAGAAGCACUGCUGGACGCAUAUUUGUCUAAAUACAGCAUCAUAAUUGUGGAUGAAGCUCAUGAAAGAACAGUCCACACAGAUGUCUUGUUAGGCUUAUUGAAAAAUGUACAACUAGCUAGGUCAAAUUCUAUUGUUAAGCAACAUAAUUGUGGAGAUGUGGACAACAACACACAAAAUCACAACCAAACCUCCACUUUGCGGGCGUGUCAGGCUUUGAAGUAUACUCCUUUAAAAUUGAUUAUAAUGUCUGCCAGUUUGGAUGCUAGAGGUUUUUCAGAGUACUUUGGUGGUGCUAAAGCAGUUUACGUUCAAGGGCGACAAUACCCUGUAGAGAUUCUAUAUACAUAUCAACCAGAAAAAGAUUAUCCAGAUGCCACACUGAUUACUAUCUUUCAGAUCCACAUAGAGGAGGGGCCUGGAGAUAUUCUUGCAUUUCUAACUGGCCAAGAGGAGAUUGAAUCAAUGGAUAGACUUAUUCACGAGCGAGUUCGUCAACUCCCUGAAGGCAGUAAUAAAUUAAUCACUGCUCCUAUCCAUUCCUCUCUUCCUUCUGAGCAGCAAAUGAAUGUUUUCAAGCCUGCCCCAUCCGGCUUUCGCAAGGUUAUUCUUGCAACAAAUAUUGCUGAGACUUCUGUAACAAUACCUGGUAUAAAGUAUGUCAUUGAUCCUGGAUGGGUGAAAGUUCGUUCUUACAACCCAGUGACAGGAAUGGAGUCAUUAACCAUCAGUGAAAUCUCAAAAGCACAGGCUCUUCAGAGGAGUGGUCGCGCUGGUCGGGAGGGCCCAGGGAAAUGUUUUCGGUUGUAUACAGAAAGUGCCUUUAGUGAACUGAAGGAUUCUACAGUUCCAGAGAUCAAAAGGUGCAACCUUGCGAAUGUUGUACUACAGCUCAAAGCCCUUGGGAUUGAUGAUAUAUUAGGGUUUGAUUUCAUGGAAAAGCCUUCAAGGACAGCUAUAGUGAAAUCUCUGGAGCAGUUGCUCCUACAAGGGGCUCUGACGGAUGACUGCAAGCUGUCAGAUCCAGUUGGCCAUCAAAUGGCCAGGCUUCCUUUGGACCCUAUGUACUCUAAGGCACUCAUCGUGGCCAGCGAGUUCAAGUGCUUGGAAGAAAUGUUGAUAGCGGUUUCAAUGCUUUCUGUGGAAUCUAUUUUCUACUCUCCUCGUGAUAAGAUGGAAGAGGCAAAUGCUGCAAAGAAGAGAUUUUCAAGCCCCGAAGGGGACCAUAUUGCUUUGGUGAAUGUAUAUCGGGCAUCUGCGGAAUGCUUGGAGAAAAGAAACAAUGCAAAGAUGAAAGAGAAAGCGGUGGAAAAGGCUCUAAACAAAUGGUGCAGGGAGAACUUCAUCAACUACCGUGCUCUAAGGCAUGCUCGAGAUGUUCACAGUCAAAUCAAAGGGCAUGUAGAGCAUAUGGGCCUUGUUCUGUCAUCAUGUGGGGAUGACAUGCUUCAAUUCCGCAGAUGCCUUACUGCCUCUUUCUUCCUCAAUGUAGCAAGGAGAGGACCAGAUAGAUCAUACAGGACUACGGCUAGUGGUCAGAGCGUGCAUAUCCAUCCUUCUUCGGUAUUAUCUGAAAUAAAGCCAAAGCCGGAUUGCAUCAUCUUCAACGAAUUAGUUUACACAACUCAAAAUUAUGUCAGAAAUGUGACGAGGAUAGAUCCAUUGUGGUUGCCCGAACUAGCUCCUCAGUAUUAUGCUGCUGAAAGUUAAUCUUAUUAUGUUGUAUUUAUUUCCAUUGCCUCAAUACAACUUGGCAGCAUAGAUGUUUCUUCCUUUCCUUCCAUCUGCAGUUGGCUAGAAACCAGAAGCACCUUUCCUUUCCUUCUCCUUUCCUGCUGGCUGGAUAUGCGCAUCAACACCUGCAAUCCGACAAUGCAACAGCAGCUGCAGCUAGGCAAUCAGCAUUAGUGGCAGCCUGGCAGCAGUCAGUGCAGGAUUUCUGAGGGCCCAGUUGCUGGGAUCUUGUUUCUUUGUAUUCUUGAUGAAGAGGAGAGCUUGAGGAAAGAAUUAAUUCAGCUAAUUUGUAAUAAGUUGAGUUCAACUACCGAAUUGGUGAUUAGUGCUGAAAUUUUUAGAUUCGAGCUGGACUUUGGACAAUUCUUUGAUUUUGAUGACAUUCUUUCGGAAAUCUUCUUUUUGCCGAACUUUAGAAGAGUUGGGGACAAGCUUCCCUUCAGCCAGAGCUAGAGAGGAGCCUGCAUUAUUGGUUGUGUUGGUGUGAUUUUCUUUGGGUUUUACAAACCAAAAUGAGAAUUGCUGGAAUUUCUAUUGAUUCUCGAGUUUUAAUGGAAUUUCUUAUAUUUAGUCCAAUUACCUAAGCCUGGAUGACUUGAUUUUGAUCUUCGCUUCAUCUACGACUAGUUGGGAUCUUAUUUGAGCUGAUUUGAAGUGUUUUGGAGCUGAGGAUCACCCAGGUUACAUUCCCCUUUCCUCCCUCGGGUUGUGCUCCUUCCUACGAGUCAUAGGAGCUGCAGCAACAUCAACAUCAACAUCAACAUUCUGCAUCAGCAGAAUUUCAGCAGCCUGUAGCUGAGUUCAAGAUGGAAUUUUUGGAGAUUUUGAAAUCAAAAUUGCUGGGGAAUUGGUUGUUUGCAUUCUUGGUAAAGAGAUGACUUGUGGAGUGUUUUAAUUCAGCAAUUGACCUAGUAUGUUACGUUUAAUUCUUGAUAUGGUAAAGGUCGCUAAAAUUCAGGUUCUAUGCUGAAUUU
RNA transcript from Ananas comosus (pineapple), 3316 nucleotides. It is a transcript of the gene named pre-mRNA-splicing factor ATP-dependent RNA helicase DEAH10-like, with no coding region annotated. The transcript is spliced from 14 exons. NCBI's taxonomy places the organism in Eukaryota, Viridiplantae, Streptophyta, Magnoliopsida, Poales, Bromeliaceae. The record is from RefSeq and is a predicted model, not a curated record.